GCCGCCUCGCGCAGCCCUUUCCCCUUCCUCCGUCCCCGUCUCCGUCGCGGUUCGGUCUCCGCGUCGAUUUGGUGCGGGAGGCUUGAGCCACCGACGUGAUUCGCAAGCUGUAGUACUGAUGGGUGAUGUGGGAUCGAUUAUGCAAUUUUGGAUGAUGUCAGACAGAUAGGUUGCUUGGUGCUGCUGAUAUUGGGAAAUAGUCCUUAUGCUUUCUCGGUUGCUUGAGGAAGGUGCCGUGAUGUGAAGGCUUGCAGAGGUCGUGCACCUUACACUUAUCCUCAUUCCACAUGAAGGCUGCAUUGCCUUUUUCUUUAAGCUAAUGUGUUGUAGCGACUCAUCAGUGAUUGUGUGUAUCUUCAUAAAAGAAAAAGAUUGUGUGUAUCUUCAUAAAUGAAAAGGAUUACGUGUAUUGUACAUGUGUCAAAAUUAUGGCUAUUCUUCAGUAGUAAUGAUAGUUGAAGGGUGUAAAUCUCUGUUUUGUCGAUUUGCUGAUAUGCUACAUUCUUAUUAUAGUGGGCUUAACUGAAAUACCUCUGCUUUUGCUA
Panicum virgatum (switchgrass) is the source of this 545-nucleotide long non-coding RNA. RefSeq lists it as uncharacterized. The record is from RefSeq and is a predicted model, not a curated record. NCBI's taxonomy places the organism in Eukaryota, Viridiplantae, Streptophyta, Magnoliopsida, Poales, Poaceae. The transcript is spliced from 2 exons.